RNAcentral lists this ribosomal RNA (484 nucleotides) under uncultured bacterium. Its description in RNAcentral is "partial 16S ribosomal RNA". It matches the Rfam family "Bacterial small subunit ribosomal RNA", at positions 28 to 523 of the family's 1533-position model. The record is from RNAcentral.
GACGAACGCUGGCGGCGUGCUUAACACAUGCAAGUCGAACGAUGAAACCGGAGCUUGCUCCGGUGGAUUAGUGGCGAACGGGUGAGUAACACGUGAGUAACCUGCCCCUGACUCUGGGAUAAGCGCUGGAAACGGCGUCUAAUACUGGAUAUGUGAUGUGACCGCAUGGUCUGCAUCUGGAAAGAAUUUCGGUUGGGGAUGGGCUCGCGGCCUAUCAGCUUGUUGGUGAGGUAAUGGCUCACCAAGGCGUCGACGGGUAGCCGGCCUGAGAGGGUGACCGGCCACACGGGGACUGAGACACGGCCCAGACUCCUACGGGAGGCAGCAGUGGGGAAUAUUGCACAAUGGGCGGAAGCCUGAUGCAGCAACGCCGCGUGAGGGAUGACGGCCUUCGGGUUGUAAACCUCUUUUAGCAGGGAAGAAGCGAAAGUGACGGUACCUGCAGAAAAAGCACCGGCUAACUACGUGCCAGCCGCCGCCGUAA